RNAcentral lists this ribosomal RNA (465 nucleotides) under Vreelandella stevensii. RNAcentral describes it as "partial 16S ribosomal RNA". It matches the Rfam family "Bacterial small subunit ribosomal RNA", at positions 338 to 795 of the family's 1533-position model. Lineage: Bacteria; Pseudomonadati; Pseudomonadota; Gammaproteobacteria; Oceanospirillales; Halomonadaceae. The record is from RNAcentral.
CCUACGGGGGGCUGCAGUGGGGAAUAUUGGACAAUGGGGGGAACCCUGAUCCAGCCAUGCCGCGUGUGUGAAGAAGGCCCUCGGGUUGUAAAGCACUUUCAGUGAGGAAGAACGCCUGGUGGUUAAUACCCAUCAGGAAAGACAUCACUCACAGAAGAAGCACCGGCUAACUCCGUGCCAGCAGCCGCGGUAAUACGGAGGGUGCGAGCGUUAAUCGGAAUUACUGGGCGUAAAGCGCGCGUAGGUGGCUUGAUAAGCCGGUUGUGAAAGCCCCGGGCUCAACCUGGGAACGGCAUCCGGAACUGUCAAGCUAGAGUGCAGGAGAGGAAGGUAGAAUUCCCGGUGUAGCGGUGAAAUGCGUAGAGAUCGGGAGGAAUGCCAGUGGCGAAGGCGGCCUUCUGGACUGACACUGACACUGAGGUGCGAAAGCGUGGGUAGCAAACAGGAUUAGAUACCCGGGUAGUC